GUGGAUUAGAUACCCGGGUAGUCCAUGCUGUAAACGAUGAGAACUGGGUGUUGUGGGUAUUGACCCCCGCGGUGCCGAAGCCAACGCGUUAAGUUCUCCGCCUGGGAAGUACGGCCGCAAGGCUAAAACUCAAAGGAAUUGACGGGGGCCCGCACAAGCGGUGGAGCAUGUGGUUUAAUUCGACGCAACGCGAAGAACCUUACCCGGGCUCGAAAGUGCUGGAACCUUUCCGAAAGGGAGGGGUGCUCGCAAGAGAGCCAGUAUCCAGGUGCUGCACGGCCGUCGUCAACU
RNAcentral lists this ribosomal RNA (291 nucleotides) under uncultured bacterium. RNAcentral's name for it is "partial 16S ribosomal RNA". It matches the Rfam family "Bacterial small subunit ribosomal RNA", at positions 773 to 1060 of the family's 1533-position model. The record is from RNAcentral.